CUGGCUCAGGAUGAAUGCUAGCUACAGGCUUAACACAUGCAAGUCGAGGGGUAGCAGGGUAGCAAUACCGCUGACGACCGGCGCACGGGUGAGUAACACGUAUCCAACCUUCCCAUAACUCAGGGAUAGCCUUUCGAAAGAAAGAUUAAUACCUGAUAGUACUUUUUCAAGGCAUCUUGAGAAAGUUAAAGAUUUAUUGGUUAUGGAUGGGGAUGCGUUCCAUUAGAUAGUUGGUGAGGUAACGGCUCACCAAGUCUUCGAUGGAUAGGGGUUCUGAGAGGAAGGUCCCCACAUUGGUACUGAGACACGGACCAAACUCCUACGGGAGGCAGCAGUGAGGAAUAUUGGUCAAUGGGCGAGAGCCUGAACCAGCCAAGCAGCGUGAAGGAAUGAAGGUCCUAUGGAUUGUAAACUUCUUUUAUAGUAGAAUAAAGUGAUCCACGUGUGGAUUUUUGUAUGUAUACUAUGAAUAAGGAUCGGCUAACUCCGUGCCAGCCGCCGC
RNAcentral lists this ribosomal RNA (502 nucleotides) under uncultured bacterium. RNAcentral's name for it is "bacterial SSU rRNA". It matches the Rfam family "Bacterial small subunit ribosomal RNA", at positions 19 to 518 of the family's 1533-position model. The record is from RNAcentral.